CUGGCUCAGAACGAACGCUGGCGGCAGGCUUAACACAUGCAAGUCGAGCGCCCCGCAAGGGGAGCGGCAGACGGGUGAGUAACGCGUGGGAACGUACCCUUUACUACGGAAUAACGCAGGGAAACUUGUGCUAAUACCGUAUGUGCCCUUUGGGGGAAAGAUUUAUCGGUAAGGGAUCGGCCCGCGUUGGAUUAGCUAGUUGGUGGGGUAAAGGCCUACCAAGGCGACGAUCCAUAGCUGGUCUGAGAGGAUGAUCAGCCACAUUGGGACUGAGACACGGCCCAAACUCCUACGGGAGGCAGCAGUGGGGAAUAUUGGACAAUGGGCGCAAGCCUGAUCCAGCCAUGCCGCGUGAGUGAUGAAGGCCCUAGGGUUGUAAAGCUCUUUCACCGGUGAAGAUAAUGACGUAA
This 410-nucleotide ribosomal RNA is filed under the name soil bacterium 06G-16. RNAcentral's name for it is "bacterial SSU rRNA". It matches the Rfam family "Bacterial small subunit ribosomal RNA", at positions 19 to 459 of the family's 1533-position model. The record is from RNAcentral.